This 831-nucleotide ribosomal RNA is filed under the name uncultured bacterium. Its description in RNAcentral is "bacterial SSU rRNA". It matches the Rfam family "Bacterial small subunit ribosomal RNA", at positions 57 to 895 of the family's 1533-position model. The record is from RNAcentral.
GCAGUCGAGGGGUAUAGGUUUUCGGACCUAGAGACCGGCGCACGGGUGCGUAACGCGUAUGCAAUCUACCUUUUACAGAGGGAUAGCCCAGAGAAAUUUGGAUUAAUACCUCAUAGUAUUAUUGAAUGGCAUCAUUUAAUAAUUAAAGUCACAACGGUAAAAGAUGAGCAUGCGUCCCAUUAGCUAGUUGGUAAGGUAACGGCUUACCAAGGCAACGAUGGGUAGGGGUCCUGAGAGGGAGAUCCCCCACACUGGUACUGAGACACGGACCAGACUCCUACGGGAGGCAGCAGUGAGGAAUAUUGGUCAAUGGGCGCAAGCCUGAACCAGCCAUGCCGCGUGCAGGAUGACGGUCCUAUGGAUUGUAAACUGCUUUUGUACAGGAAGAAACAGUUCUACGUGUAGAACCUUGACGGUACUGUAAGAAUAAGGAUCGGCUAACUCCGUGCCAGCAGCCGCGGUAAUACGGAGGAUCCAAGCGUUAUCCGGAAUCAUUGGGUUUAAAGGGUCCGUAGGCGGUUUUGUAAGUCAGUGGUGAAAGCCCAUCGCUCAACGGUGGAACGGCCAUUGAUACUGCAAGACUUGAAUUAUUAGGAAGUAACUAGAAUAUGUAGUGUAGCGGUGAAAUGCUUAGAUAUUACAUGGAAUACCAAUUGCGAAGGCAGGUUACUACUAAUAUAUUGACGCUGAUGGACGAAAGCGUGGGGAGCGAACAGGAUUAGAUACCCUGGUAGUCCACGCCGUANACGAUGGAUACUAGCUGUUCGGAGCAAUCUGAGUGGCUAAGCGAAAGUGAUAAGUAUCCCACCUGGGGAGUACGUUCGCAAGAAU